CACCAGGCGCGAAAACUUUACAAUGCACGAAAGUGUGAUAAGGGAAUCCAAAGUGCUCAUGUUUAACAUGGGCUUUUGCCAAGGGUAAAUACCUUGGAGAAUAAGUGGUGGGUAAGACUGGUGCCAGCAGCCGCGGUAACCCCAGCGCCACAAGUGGGAGCCACAAUUAUUUGGCCUAAAGCGUCCGUAGCUGGUUAUGUAAAUCUUUUGUGAAAUCGGAAGGCUCAACUUUCCGGCGUGCAGAAGACACUGCAUAACUUGAGAUUGGGAGGGGUAAGGAGUAUUCCUAGGGAACCGGUAAAAUGGGAUAAUCCUAGGAGGACUACCUGUGGCGAAGGCGCCUUACCAGAACAAGUCUGACAGUGAGGGACGAAGGCUAGGGGAGCGAACCGGAUUAGAUACCCGAGUAGUCCUAGCAGUAAACUCUGCGGGCUAGGUGUUACACCAUCUAUGUGAUUGUGUAGUGUCGUAGCGAAGGCAUUAAGCCCGCCGCCUGGGAAGUAUGGUCGCAAGACUGAAACUUAAAGGAAUUGGCGGGGGAGCAC
This 545-nucleotide ribosomal RNA is filed under the name uncultured archaeon. RNAcentral describes it as "bacterial SSU rRNA". It matches the Rfam family "Archaeal small subunit ribosomal RNA", at positions 333 to 879 of the family's 1478-position model. The record is from RNAcentral.